RNAcentral lists this ribosomal RNA (176 nucleotides) under Pseudoalteromonas shioyasakiensis. Its description in RNAcentral is "partial 23S ribosomal RNA". The stretch from base 1 to 158 matches the Rfam family "Bacterial large subunit ribosomal RNA", at positions 2773 to 2925 of the family's 2925-position model. Lineage: Bacteria; Pseudomonadati; Pseudomonadota; Gammaproteobacteria; Alteromonadales; Pseudoalteromonadaceae. The record is from RNAcentral.
GAAAGCAUCUAAGCGCGAAGCAGGCCUCGAGAUGAGUUCUCACUAGACUUUUAAAGUCUCUGAAGGGCCGUUGAAGACUACAACGUUGAUAGGCAGGAUGUGGAAGUGGUGUGAGCCAUUAAGCUAACCUGUACUAAUUACCCGUGAGGCUUAACCAUACAACGCCAAACGCGUUU